This 366-nucleotide RNase P RNA is filed under the name Chloroflexota bacterium. RNAcentral's name for it is "Chloroflexi bacterium RNase P RNA component class A". It matches the Rfam family "Bacterial RNase P class A". From Rfam's summary of the family: Ribonuclease P (RNase P) is a ubiquitous endoribonuclease, found in archaea, bacteria and eukarya as well as chloroplasts and mitochondria. Its best characterised activity is the generation of mature 5'-ends of tRNAs by cleaving the 5'-leader elements of precursor-tRNAs. Cellular RNase Ps are ribonucleoproteins. Lineage: Bacteria; Bacillati; Chloroflexota. The record is from RNAcentral.
CAAGGAGGCUGGGCGGCCGCUCUCUCGUCUUAAGGCGAGGGAGAGGAAAGUCCGAGCUCCACCGGGCAGGAUGCCCGCUAACUGCGGGGCGGGGCGACCCGACGGACAGUGCCACAGAAAUGUACCGCCGCGACUUGACGUCUCGGUAAGGGUGAAAAGGUGCGGUAAGAGCGCACCGCUUCGGUGGUAACAUCGGAGGUCAAGGCAAACCCCAUCCGGAGCAAGGCCUAAUAGGGGGAUUACGGUGCCCGCCCCUUCCCCGGGUUGGCCGCACGACCUCGGUGGCAACGUCGAGGCUAGAUAGAUGGCCGCCGCCCGACGCUACGCGUCAGGUUACAGAACUCGGCUUACAGGCCUCCUUGGCAA